This 155-nucleotide ribosomal RNA is filed under the name uncultured fungus. RNAcentral describes it as "5.8S ribosomal RNA". It matches the Rfam family "5.8S ribosomal RNA". Rfam says of the family: 5.8S ribosomal RNA (5.8S rRNA) is a component of the large subunit of the eukaryotic ribosome. It is transcribed by RNA polymerase I as part of the 45S precursor that also contains 18S and 28S rRNA. Lineage: Eukaryota; Fungi. The record is from RNAcentral.
AACUUUCAGCAAUGGAUCUCUUGGCUCUCGCAUCGAUGAAGAACGCAGCGAAACGCGAUAUGUAAUGUGAAUUGCAGAUCUACAGUGAAUCAUCGAAUCUUUGAACGCACCUUGCGCUCCUUGGUAUUCCGAGGAGCAUGCCUGUUUGAGUGUCA